RNAcentral lists this transfer RNA (73 nucleotides) under Patescibacteria group bacterium. Its description in RNAcentral is "tRNA-Val". It matches the Rfam family "tRNA". Rfam says of the family: Transfer RNA (tRNA) molecules are approximately 80 nucleotides in length. Their secondary structure includes four short double-helical elements and three loops (D, anti-codon, and T loops). Further hydrogen bonds mediate the characteristic L-shaped molecular structure. tRNAs have two regions of fundamental functional importance: the anti-codon, which is responsible for specific mRNA codon recognition, and the 3' end, to which the tRNAs corresponding amino acid is attached (by aminoacyl-tRNA synthetases). tRNAs cope with the degeneracy of the genetic code in two manners: having more than one tRNA (with a specific anti-codon) for a particular amino acid; and 'wobble' base-pairing, i.e. permitting non-standard base-pairing at the 3rd anti-codon position. The record is from RNAcentral.
GGGCCAUUAGCUCAUUUGGUAGAGCGCUACAUUCACACUGUAGAGGCGACUGGUUCGAGUCCAGUAUUGUCCA